Molecule: ribosomal RNA, 297 nt
Filed under: Triticum aestivum (bread wheat)
Lineage: Eukaryota; Viridiplantae; Streptophyta; Magnoliopsida; Poales; Poaceae
Description: partial small subunit ribosomal RNA
Source: RNAcentral
AUGGCGGCCGCUGCUUCCUCCAGCGCGUGGAAGGCGAGGUGGCUCCGCCCCGAGGCGUACCCGAUCUUCGCGGCGACGGGCGUAGCCGUGGGGAUCUGCGUCAUGCAGCUGGUGCGCAACAUCACCACCAACCCCGAGGUCCGGGUGACCAAGGAGAACCGGGCGGCCGGGGUGCUGGACAACCACGACGAGGGCCGCCGCUACGCGCGCCACCCCUUCAGGAGGUUCAUCGACGGCAAGUCCGCCGAGAUCAUGCCCGGCAUCAACAGCUUCUUCACCGACCCACCAAAGAACUAG